AUGGAACACACAGCGAUAUUGAGCUCCCUCAGACCCCAGAGCUAUGGGGUGAGCAAGGCCACAUCCACCGGUGCUCUAUGUAAACAACAGACUGCUGGCCAAAAUUUCUGCUGCUUGGCAGAUCCCUUUAGGAGUAAGAUCCACACCACUAAAAUCUCGGCUACCGUCUGUGUUAUCAACUUGAUCAAGAACCAAGAGCUGACCCAGGCUCCGGCUCUUUGCAUCUUUCCCCAGUGGGCCAGGGCACACGGACCGAGCGAAGGGGUUACACCGCGAGCUUCCAGCUGCUUUGCACUGCCCCGGCGCCGGUGCCACCAGCCGGCCCGGCCCGGCCCAGCUCCGCCUCCUCCGUCAGCACCCGUCAGCCCCGCCGCUCCACAACAUGGCGGCCGCCCUCGCGCGGGGCAGGACGGGAGCGCGCCCCGCCCGCCGCUUCGAACACACACAGGAAGCGGCGGCGCGCGGCGCCAUAGCAACGGCCCGCUGACGUCACAGCCGGGAGAUGACGUCAUGGCGGGGGCUCCGGUGUCUGUCUGUCUGUCCCGGGAGGGCACCGGGCUGCUGAGUCUCUGAGGGUCCCCUCUUGGGUCCUUAAGGAGGUCCUUGGGUCUUUGUGGGGCUCUUUAGUGAGAGUUUCUUGGUCCCUGAAGGGGUUCUUGGGUCUCUGGGGAAGAUUCUUAGGUCCUUAAGGGGGCUUCUCAGGUCCUUGGGGUUAGGGUUGGUCCUGGCCCCUCCAGGAGGGUGUGGGAUUCCUGUGCCCCUCCCAGAGAUUGUCUGUGACUCAGUGUAGGAUGCCCCACGAUCCUGCAGAGUGUCUGUGUCUCCCCCAUUCCUGGUUUCUGAUCCCCAUUACUCUUCUCAGGGAGUUGUAGGGUGGGUAGAGGGAAGCCAGUCGUGUGUCCACACCCCUCUUGGGAGGGCACUGGGCCAGAGGCCAAGAGCUCAGCCCCACAUGGCCUGCAAGGAGCCAGGGGCAGGUGCUGCAGGAGGACCCGUGGUCCCGUGCCCUUCUCGGCGCUGGUGUGUGCAGGAACCCCCCCCCAUUUUCUGCCCACAGAGGGGCUGGUUCCAAAGGCCCAGGGUGCUCGUUGGGGGCAGAGGGGUGCCUGUCUGCAGACUGUCCAUCUGCGAUGCUCUGGUGACCCCAGACGGCCAUCUCACAGCCUGGCACAAACAUGCAUUCUGGUCCUACUGCAGCUAUGCAGCAAGCUGCAUGCAAUUCCCUGAUAAUAAUCUUGGACUCCCUGGUUAUCAGUCAUGCAGCUCAGCCUCACAUAAUAAUCCUAGGCUCCUUGUAUGUUAUUUUCAACAAGAAACAGCUGAUAACUGCAGUCCUGAGAAGGAACAGAAUAAUUCAUAGACUCCUGGAAUAUCCUGAGCUGGAGGGACCCUCAGGGAUCAUCAGUGCAGCCCCUGGCCCUGCCCAGACCCCCCAACAAGCCCACCCUGAGCAUCCCUGAGAGCGCUGUCCAAACGCUCCUGGAGCUCUGGCAGCCUUGGGGCCGGGCCCAUUCCCUGGGGAGCCUGGGCAGUGCCAGCAGCCUCGGGGGGAAGAACCUUGCCCUGAGAUCCA
Molecule: long non-coding RNA, 1573 nt
Organism: Parus major (Great Tit)
Lineage: Eukaryota; Metazoa; Chordata; Aves; Passeriformes; Paridae
Source: Ensembl